UCAAAGCGAGGACACGGUGAGUCCUCCAGUGCAAAACUCUGGAUUGGCCUAGGUCUUCUGAUAGGAGCUGUGAUCAUCUUUGCUGACCACACAGGAGUCAAAAAUCUGUAGAUCAUUGUCACGAAGGGGCUCACAGCUGGACAGACUUCCCACUGCUAGUGUGAGUAAUGUGGUGAUGGUCACAGUCAAGAAAGGCAAACCAGAGAUCGAAAGAAGGUAUGUGCGGCAGUGGUCAUUUGACAACAAAAGUCAUACCGGAGAAAAUAUAACAUUUAAAAAGAAUUUUUGAAGACAAUGCAGGGUCAUAUUAAAAAAAAUAAAGGCAAGGGGAAAGGUUCUGCCAUUACAGGACCAGUUGCAAAGGAGCGUGCAGACCUGUGGCCCGGGUUGGUGUCCAAUGCUGGCAGUAUU
RNAcentral lists this long non-coding RNA (411 nucleotides) under Homo sapiens (human). RNAcentral's name for it is "non-protein coding lnc-CCDC7-20:1". Lineage: Eukaryota; Metazoa; Chordata; Mammalia; Primates; Hominidae. The record is from RNAcentral.